GAAGAGAGCGACAGACAGAUUUGUGAUAACCGCAUGGGAACAAUGCGGUCCCAUGAAAUAACAACACAGUGAUUACUGUGCUGUGCCUGUUACAUUAUCGAGGUUCAAAUCCCUCUGGCUCACUCCGUCAAGGGGAUGUGUUGUACGAGGAUGUCGUGUUCCAGAGGCUGUGAACGAGGACAAACAAGCCCGGGCACGCUGCGACAAACACAACCUGACAUGAGUGUUGAUAUGUGGUCAGAAAGAAUGUGCUGUUAAAUGCAUACAUCAGACUCAGCGGGGGACAGGUCGUGUCGAGUUGGUGCUUGAUUCAUUUCACUAGUCUUAACAAUGGAUUUGUCCUGAAAUGUCCCUGUCCUGUUGUUACACCAUCAAAGAGACUGGUGUCAUGUCACCUGUACACACUGGGAGCUCUAUAUCAAUUCAAUUUUAAAGUGAGUGUGUGUCUGUUUGUGUGAGUGUGCGUGUGUGUCUGCAUGUCUGUCCUACCUGUACUCCUGUUGUGAGAAACAAUCAAGUAGGUCUGCAGGCGUCAAUCUGGAGUCCACAUUAACGACCUGAAACACAAUGCAUUGCACAGAUCAAGGUGCCAACCUUGUGGAAGUGGAUGAUGCUGAGCAGUGUCUGGACUUUCUCCAAACUCGGGGCCGAGGAAAACAAACUGAAGAACAAAAAACGCAUUUUAUAAAUAUUCUCACUUUCAGGUGAAG
This is a long non-coding RNA of Platichthys flesus (European flounder), 710 nucleotides long. RefSeq lists it as uncharacterized. NCBI's taxonomy places the organism in Eukaryota, Metazoa, Chordata, Actinopteri, Pleuronectiformes, Pleuronectidae. The transcript has 3 exons. The record is from RefSeq and is a predicted model, not a curated record.